Molecule: ribosomal RNA, 444 nt
Filed under: uncultured bacterium
Lineage: Bacteria
Description: bacterial SSU rRNA
Rfam family: Bacterial small subunit ribosomal RNA
Source: RNAcentral
CCAGACUCCUACGGGAGGCAGCAGUGGGGAAUAUUGCACAAUGGGGGAAACCCUGAUGCAGCGACGCCGCGUGAAGGACGAAGUAUUUCGGUACGUAAACUUCUAUCAGCAGGGAAGAAAAUGACGGUACCUGACCAAGAAGCCCCGGCUAACUACGUGCCAGCAGCCGCGGUAAUACGUAGGGGGCAAGCGUUAUCCGGAUUUACUGGGUGUAAAGGGAGCGUAGACGGCCGUGCAAGUCUGAUGUGAAAACCCGGGGCUCAACCCCGGGACUGCAUUGGAAACUGCAUGGCUGGAGUGUCGGAGAGGCAAGUGGAAUUCCUAGUGUAGCGGUGAAAUGCGUAGAUAUUAGGAGGAACACCAGUGGCGAAGGCGGCUUGCUGGACGACGACUGACGUUGAGGCUCGAAAGCGUGGGGAGCAAACAGGAUUAGAUACCCUGGUA